Molecule: ribosomal RNA, 522 nt
Filed under: uncultured Actinomycetes bacterium
Lineage: Bacteria; Bacillati; Actinomycetota; Actinomycetes
Description: bacterial SSU rRNA
Rfam family: Bacterial small subunit ribosomal RNA
Source: RNAcentral
UUGGACAAUGGGCGGAAGCCUGAUCCAGCAACGCCGCGUGAGGGAUGACGGCCUUCGGGUUGUAAACCUCUUUCGCCUGUGACGAAGCGCAAGUGACGGUAACAGGUAAAGAAGCACCGGCCAACUACGUGCCAGCAGCCGCGGUAAUACGUAGGGUGCGAGCGUUGUCCGGAAUUAUUGGGCGUAAAGGGCUCGUAGGCGGUUUGUCGCGUCGGGAGUGAAAACCAGGUGCUUAACACCUGGCUUGCUUUCGAUACGGGCAGACUAGAGGUAUUCAGGGGAGAACGGAAUUCCUGGUGUAGCGGUGAAAUGCGCAGAUAUCAGGAGGAACACCGGUGGCGAAGGCGGUUCUCUGGGAAUGACCUGACGCUGAGGAGCGAAAGUGUGGGGAGCGAACAGGAUUAGAUACCCUGGUAGUCCACACCGUAAACGUUGGGCGCUAGGUGUGGGGUCCAUUCCACGGAUUCCGUGCCGCAGCUAACGCAUUAAGCGCCCCGCCUGGGGAGUACGGCCGCAAGGCUA